CAGCCACAGCCUCAAAGAGAAAUCAAGUCACGAGACUACGGCCGCUCGGGACCAGGCAGACCGCCGGGAAGGAACGCCAGGGAUGGCUAUCCUCGUGUUUCAGAGUCUACCUUUUAAUUCAAGGGCCCACGUGAGGAUGCUGCUGGCCCCAGAGAUGGAGUGGGGGGGUCCCUCAUAUUCCCACUCAGCCAGCUGUGGCUGCGGCAUGUGCCCUGAAUUCCUCACAGGAUAGAAGACGUGGGCCUGCUGACCAGCAGGGACAGGAGGCGUGGGUGCACAUGCCUGAAGCCACCAGUGCUGAAAGCAAGGGCCUGGAUCAGGUUCUGGCUCCACCAGGUACCAGCCGUGUCAGCUUCCUCUUGCCAAUGAAACGGCAUUGUUCAAACAGCACUGAGGACUCAGAGGACACACCGGCGCCGCAGACCCAGCCGCCGUGAGGAACUG
Talpa occidentalis (Iberian mole) is the source of this 444-nucleotide long non-coding RNA. RefSeq lists it as uncharacterized. Lineage: Eukaryota; Metazoa; Chordata; Mammalia; Eulipotyphla; Talpidae. The transcript has 4 exons. The record is from RefSeq and is a predicted model, not a curated record.